RNAcentral lists this ribosomal RNA (484 nucleotides) under uncultured bacterium. Its description in RNAcentral is "partial 16S ribosomal RNA". It matches the Rfam family "Bacterial small subunit ribosomal RNA", at positions 29 to 507 of the family's 1533-position model. The record is from RNAcentral.
AUUGAACGCUGGCGGCAGGCCUAACACAUGCAAGUCGAGCGGAUGAAGGGAGCUUGCUCCUGGAUUCAGCGGCGGACGGGUGAGUAAUGCCUAGGAAUCUGCCUGGUAGUGGGGGAUAACGUCCGGAAACGGGCGCUAAUACCGCAUACGUCCUGAGGGAGAAAGUGGGGGAUCUUCGGACAUCACGCUAUCAGAUGAGCGUAGGUGGGAUUAGCUAGUUGGUGGGGUAAAGGGCUACCAAGCCGACGAUCCGUAACUGGUCUGAGAGGAGGAUCAGUCACACUGGAAGUGAGACACGGACAAGGCUCCUAAGGGAGGCAGCAGUGGGGAAUAUUGGACAAUAGGCGAAAGCCUGAUCCAGCCGUGCCGCGUGUGUUAAGAAGGUCUUCGGAGUGGAAAGCACUUUAAGUGGGGGGGAAGGGCAGUAAGUUAAGACCUUGCUGUUGUGACGUUACCAACAGAAUAAGCACCGGCUAACUACGUG